GAUGAACGCUGGCGGCGUGCCUAAUACAUGCAAGUCGAGCGAACAGAUGAGGAGCUUGCUCCUCUGACGUUAGCGGCGGACGGGUGAGUAACACGUGUAUCACCUCCCUAUAAGACUGGGAUAACUACGGGAAACCGGAGCUAAUACCGGAUAAUAUAUUGAACCGCAUGGUUCAAUAGUGAAAUACGGUUUUGUUGUCGGUUAUGGAUGGAUCCGCGCCGUAUCAGCUUGUUGGUAGGGUAGCGGCUUACCACGGCAACGACGGGUAGCCGGCCUGAGAGGGUGAACGGCCAGAUUGGGACUGAGAUACGGCCCAGACUCCUACGGGAGGCAGUAGUGGGGAAUAGUGCACAAUGGGCGGAAGCCUGAUGCAGAAACGCCGCGUGCGGGAUGACGGCCUUCGGGUUGUAAACCGAUUUCGCCUGUGAUGAAGCGUGAGUGACGGUAAUGGGUAAAGAAGCACCGGCUAACUACGUG
RNAcentral lists this ribosomal RNA (477 nucleotides) under uncultured bacterium. Its description in RNAcentral is "partial 16S ribosomal RNA". It matches the Rfam family "Bacterial small subunit ribosomal RNA", at positions 28 to 507 of the family's 1533-position model. The record is from RNAcentral.